Molecule: ribosomal RNA, 467 nt
Filed under: uncultured bacterium
Lineage: Bacteria
Description: partial 16S ribosomal RNA
Rfam family: Bacterial small subunit ribosomal RNA
Source: RNAcentral
GACGAACGCUGGCGGCGUGCUUAACACAUGCAAGUCGAACGGAAAGGCCUCUUUCGGGGGGUACUCGAGUGGCGAACGGGUGAGUAACACGUGAGUAACCUGCCCUUGACUUUGGGAUAACUUCAGGAAACUGGGUCUAAUACCGGAUAGGAGCUCCUGCUGCAUGGUGGGGGUUGGAAAGUUUCGGCGGUUGGGGAUGGACUCGCGGCUUAUCAGCUUGUUGGUGGGGUAGUGGCUUACCAAGGCUUUGACGGGUAGCCGGCCUGAGAGGGUGACCGGCCACAUUGGGACUGAGAUACGGCCCAGACUCCUACGGGAGGCAGCAGUGGGGAAUAUUGCACAAUGGGUGGAAGCCUGAUGCAGCAACGCCGUGUGCGGGAUGACGGCCUUCGGGUUGUAAACCGCUUUCGCUCAUGACGAAGCUUUGUGUGACGGCAGUGGGUAAAGAAGCACCGGCUAACUACGUG